RNAcentral lists this ribosomal RNA (482 nucleotides) under uncultured bacterium. RNAcentral describes it as "partial 16S ribosomal RNA". It matches the Rfam family "Bacterial small subunit ribosomal RNA", at positions 30 to 507 of the family's 1533-position model. The record is from RNAcentral.
AUUGAACGCUGGCGGCAUGCCUUACACAUGCAAGUCGAACGGUAACGGGCCUUCGGGUGCCGACGAGUGGCGGACGGGUGAGUAAUACAUCGGAACGUGCCCGAUCGUGGGGGAUAACGAGGCGAAAGCUUUGCUAAUACCGCAUACGAUCUACGGAUGAAAGCCGGGGACCGCAAGGCCUUGCGCGGACGGAGCGGCCGAUGGCAGAUUAGGUAGUUGGUGGGAUAAAAGCUUACCAAGCCGACGAUCUGUAGCUGGUCUGAGAGGAUGAUCAGCCACACUGGGACUGAGACACGGCCCAGACUCCUACGGGAGGCAGCAGUGGGGAAUUUUGGACAAUGGGCGCAAGCCUGAUCCAGCCAUGCCGCGUGCAGGAUGAAGGCCUUCGGGUUGUAAACUGCUUUUGUACGGAACGAAAAGCCUUCUUUUAAUACAGGAGGGUCAUGACGGUACCGUAAGAAUAAGCACCGGCUAACUACGUG